This 3892-nucleotide long non-coding RNA is filed under the name Capsicum annuum. Its description in RNAcentral is "long non-coding RNA (CANN_LNC004933)". The stretch from base 3733 to 3843 matches the Rfam family "Plant small nucleolar RNA R71". Lineage: Eukaryota; Viridiplantae; Streptophyta; Magnoliopsida; Solanales; Solanaceae. The record is from RNAcentral.
AUGGAGCUUGAAACGCCCAGAGGUCGAGUAGACCAUGCAUUGCACCCUUUAUUCCUAUUUAAUGGAUCAUGAAACACACCCUCUAUUCCAUAGGAAUAUAGAAUGCAACACAUGCUAAUCGCAUGGUGCUACUGGAAGUUGUCCUCCGAAUUUUGGUUAAGUGUUGGUCCUUCCUCCUUCCAUCCCUUGUCUUGUGGUGUCUUUCCAAUGAUUUUCCCGCCUUUAUAUCAUCUAUAUAUCAUCAUAUUAAUCUAACCAAUGAUCCUAAUAGAAAACACCAUACGAAUUAGAGGUACAAAAACACAAUAUCCAUCACGAUGAAUUGAAAAUAAGAGCUUAGCCUAGGUUGAUUUCCAUGAUCUUUCACUCGAAGUUUCAACUCUUUCCUUGACUCACUUGAACUUUGUAAACUACUAAAAACUUUUUCCAUAUACAAUAGCAUAAUUUAAACCAUAAUUAACAUAUAAAACACAAUACAAUUCAAUAACAUAGACUAGACAAGCACCUAGCUCAAGCUAGUAACACUAGUUUUCUCUAUUUGAACUUUAAUUGACUUUUUGAAGCACAAACUUGUUGGAAAACACUUGUAACCAUUACAAACACAUUAUUUAACACUUUGAUACAUAUUUAUAUCAUUAUCAACCCAUAUAGCAUAGAAUCAUCCUCAAAACAAGGCUAAAAGGACUAGAAUAGUGACACUAGAAUACAUAAAUACACCCAACAUCACCACCCCACACUUAAAGCCUUGUUCUUCCUCGAAAAAUUCUUAUCUUUAAUCAUCAUCAUCUAAGGAGACUCUGCACUUAUACUAAAUGUAAGACACUCAAUCUAGUACUAUAAUGACUAUAUAGACUGCAACUUACUACACUAAGAAUGUUAUUUACACAAUUGAAAGAUCAUGAACACUACUCCAAAACAUCCUAGACUCAAGAAUUAACUCACCUAGUUGGAAAACUCAUGCUUAUCAUUCAAUCAAGGAUGUAAUACAAGUCACCUACAUUCAUCAAACAUGUGCCCCUCACAACAAGAGUUAAUCGUAAUCACUCAUAAUUAAGCAAUUCAUACUAUAAUGGGUACAAGAAUCAAAUUACGCUCACUCUCACAAAAAAUUCACAAGUUAAACGCAAUGAACCAUAGGAGUUCCCUUAGUGUAAUGCUUCACUAAUAUCUGAAGGUAAAGGUUAGGAUCAAUUAGGACUUUUCCUAAUUGUAAUGUAGGCUAGGGGAUGGGUAGGAACUAUUUGGGGAAUAGUGACUAACCUCUCUAAGAGCUUUAAUACACUAUAUUAUACAUUUAAAACUAAUCACCGCAACCAAUUACACCAUUUUGUCUUCCCACACACCAGGCAAGUUCUACACAUCACAUGCAACAAGGAAUAUACAAAAAUUCUCACAUGCACAUGACACAUGCUUAACUCAUAUAGGAUCAUCAUAGACUCCCAACCAAACAAUAACAUAAAUUCAAAAUUAUGCCAAUAAGUACAAGAGUCAUAAAAAUGAGCCUAGGAGUCUCAAAAAUAGUAAUUCAUUCAACCAAUAUGCUUUUACAAACAAACCUACUUGUACCCUAUAAUCAAAAAUAGCAUCAAUAAGAAUAUCUUACACAAAAAACUUUAAAUUGAGUAAAAAUUUAGGAAUUUCCCCACACCUAAAAAUCUACUUUGUCCCCAAAGUGAAUUUAAAGGUAAGAGAUAGAAAUACUUCUUGAGGCCUCUACACCUAGCUAGUAGCAUUUUUUGCAUAAAAGAGAUCCAUGCAACCCCACACUCAAUCUUUGCCAUAAUCCUUAACUCAAGUUUAUGGUACUUAGACUUUCCAUUAACCUAUGACUCAACCAAAAGCAAAAACUACAUGAAAUAAAAACUAAAAAUUAAAAAAAAAAAACAUACCUAAUUAACUUGGGUUGCCUCCCAAGCAGCGCCUAAUUUAGUGUCGCAGCAGAACCCAACUUAACUCAACCAUAUUCCUUCACCCUUUUACUCCCCCUUGGAAGCCAUUUUUUAUUUAUUUCUGACCUCUUAAGAUUACACUCUCAAGGUCAACAUCUCCUUUCACUUCAACCUUCAUCAUGCUGGGAAAUGGUGGAUUCAACUUGGGCCUCUCACUCUGGUAAUCCAAAAAGGGUUUUAGUGGAUUAACUACCCCACACUUUUCUCUUUCAAUAACAUUGAUCAUACAUAAAUCUUUAUAUUGGUAAUUUACGAUGGGUUCUUUAUAAAUAUCGAAUACUACCUCUUCACCAUCUACCCUCAUUUUGAGUGUGCCUUCUCUAACAUAAAUCAAGGCCUCUACAGUUGCUAAGAAUGAACGCCCCAAGAUUAUUGGUACAUGUUCAUCUACCUCAAAAUCAAGAACAAUAAAGUCAGAAGGUAUAAUGAAUUUAACAACCUUUAUGAGGACAUCCUCAAUUAUUUCAUUCAGAUGUAUAAAUGACCAAUCUGCCAGCUGCAAUACCAUGGUGGUGGGUUUUGUCUUUCCCAAGCCCAAUAUUUUAAACAGUGAUAGGGGCAUCAAAUUUAUGCUUACCCCUAAUUCACUCAAUGCAUGGACCACACUUCUCCCAAUUUGAAUUGGGAUAUCAAACCUCCUUGAUCUCUCAAUUUCUUGGGGAUUUUUUGUGCCUCACAUCAUUACACUCUUUAGUAAGUGUUAUAGCUUCCACAUCCUAUAGUUUUACCUUAUUAGCCACUGCAUCCCUUAAGUAUUUUUCAUACUUGGGCAUACUCAGCAAAACAUCUAAAAGAAGUAAAUUAAUAUGAAGCUCUCUGAAUGUGUCAAAGAAAUUUUUGAACAUUGCACCUCCUUUACUUUUAUCUUUCUCUGAGGGAAGGGUAGCGUCGGCAUCUUCUUCACUUCUUCUACAACAACUUUUUCUUUCAAAUACUCAGGCUUUCUUGAAUUUUUAGCAACUCUGUCAUUUACCUAUUAGGUCACUAUAUCAAUAUCUACCUCCUUUGUUGCCUUGGGAGGUUCUCCUUAUAGCUCUUUACCACUUCUCAAGGUGAUUUCCAUAACCUGCUUUGAAUUUUCUGUAUUUACUGGCAAACUACCUGGUGGUUUAGUAUUCAUUGCCUGUGAUAAUUGGCCCACUUGCAACUCUAAAAUUCUUGUGGUCGCUUUCUGAUUUUUUAAUUUUGUCUGUUGACUUUUCAUAUCUACAACCAUUUAUGCUUGACUAGUUAAGAGUUAUUUCAACAUCUUUUCUAUGUUGCUCAUUGACUAAUUUGAUUAGGCCUGUGGAUGUGGGUUUUUCCAUGGCUGAUUUGGUGGCUGAGUUUUCCACUUCAUGUUGUGGGCAUUACCAUAAUUUGUCCUUUGAGAAUUGCCUACAUACAUCAAAAAUUCUAAAUUUCAAGCACACAUGGACGUUGAAUGGCCAUUAUUUCCACAGAUCUCACACCAAUCUACAGCUUGUUAGAUGGCAUUACUUGUGGCUGCAGGUUGUGCUGCUCCCAACUUCAUGCUGCUGAACUGAGUGUUGAUCAAAUUUUGUAAGGUAGAAACCUAUAAUGAUAAGGAUAUAAAUUGGUCCACCUCUAAUACACCCGUAAUUCUUUUCGUGUAACUUUUAGAAUCUGAAUGCCACUCUGGAUUUCCUUAUACUAUGCGGUUUAAUAAAAUGUACAACUCAUUGUAAGUCAAUUCCAUCACUUGACCACCUACAGAUGAAUCUAGAAAAAUCUUUGUAUUAUGAUCAAGAGCUUCUACCAAAGUAUGAGCGAGUACCUCAUUGGACUUUUGGUGGUGUGGACAAUGCCGAAGAAGAACCUUGAAGCAUUCCCAAGCAUAAUAGAGGUUUUUAUCAGGCUUCUGUUUGAAGCUCACUAUCUCACUGCGAAGUCUCGCAGUCUUGCCUGAUAGAAAGAAUUUGAUAAGGAACUUUCUGUCUAAG